ACCCGCCUUAGUAGUUAUUACCGUUUGCGGUUUUGGAAACUUAAAAGCAGGGCGAGACAUUUGUUUUGGGGGGACAAAUGGCCCAAGCUAACAGCACUUUUCAUCUUACUGCCGAGUUAAACACAUUAUAAGAUGAGGCUAAAAACCAGGCUUAACCUGCUUAUUUAAAAAAAUGAAAUUCAGUUCUAAACUGUUUUCCCUAGAGGUCCAGCAAGGGUCAUCUCUUAUAUUUUUUCAGGAUUACUAUUGGAGAAAACCUAAACACAGAAGCGUGC
Non-coding RNA from Paramuricea clavata, 275 nucleotides. Lineage: Eukaryota; Metazoa; Cnidaria; Anthozoa; Malacalcyonacea; Plexauridae. The record is from the annotation of a GenBank genome assembly.